UACAGAGGUCUCAAGCGUUGUUCGGAUUCACUGGGCGUAAAGCGCACGUAGGCGGAUCUUUAAGUCAGGGGUGAAAUCCUGGAGCUCAACUCCAGAACUGCCUUUGAUACUGGGGAUCUCGAGUCCGGAAGAGGUGAGUGGAACUCCGAGUGUAGAGGUGAAAUUCGUAGAUAUUCGGAAGAACACCAGUGGCGAAGGCGGCUCACUGGUCCGGUACUGACGCUGAGGUGCGAAAGCGUGGGGAGCAAACAGG
This 253-nucleotide ribosomal RNA is filed under the name uncultured bacterium. RNAcentral's name for it is "partial 16S ribosomal RNA". It matches the Rfam family "Bacterial small subunit ribosomal RNA", at positions 524 to 776 of the family's 1533-position model. The record is from RNAcentral.